Molecule: ribosomal RNA, 242 nt
Filed under: uncultured bacterium
Lineage: Bacteria
Description: partial 16S ribosomal RNA
Rfam family: Bacterial small subunit ribosomal RNA
Source: RNAcentral
GAUCAUGGCUCAGGAUGAACGCUAGCGGCAGGCCUAACACAUGCAAGUCGAGGGGCAUCGGGAUUGAAGCUUGCUUCAAUUGCCGGCGACCGGCGCACGGGUGCGUAACGCGUAUGUAACCUACCUAUAACAGGGGCAUAACACUGAGAAAUUGGUACUAAUUCCCCAUAAUAUUCGGAGAGGCAUCUCUCCGGGUUGAAAACUCCGGUGGUUAUAGAUGGACAUGCGUUGUAUUAGCUUAG